GGCGUAAAGCGCACGCAGGCGGUUUGUUAAGUCAGAUGUGAAAUCCCCGGGCUCAACCUGGGAACUGCAUCUGAUACUGGCAAGCUUGAGUCUCGUAGAGGGGGGUAGAAUUCCAGGUGUAGCGGUGAAAUGCGUAGAGAUCUGGAGGAAUACCGGUGGCGAAGGCGGCCCCCUGGACGAAGACUGACGCUCAGGUGCGAAAGCGUGGGGAGCAAACAGGAUUAGAUACCCUGGUAGUCCACGCCGUAAACGAUGUCGACUUGGAGGUUGUGCCCUUGAGGCGUGGCUUCCGGAGCUAACGCGUUAAGUCGACCGCCUGGGGAGUACGGCCGCAAGGUUAAAACUCAAAUGAAUUGACGGGGGCCCGCACAAGCGGUGG
This 379-nucleotide ribosomal RNA is filed under the name Klebsiella sp. RNAcentral's name for it is "bacterial SSU rRNA". It matches the Rfam family "Bacterial small subunit ribosomal RNA", at positions 557 to 935 of the family's 1533-position model. The record is from RNAcentral. Lineage: Bacteria; Pseudomonadati; Pseudomonadota; Gammaproteobacteria; Enterobacterales; Enterobacteriaceae.